AGAGUUUGAUCAUGGCUCAGGAUGAACGCUGGCGGUAUGCUUAACACAUGCAAGUCGAACGAAUCCCUUCGGGGAUUAGUGGCGGACGGGUGAGUAACGCGUGAGAAUUUACCAAAAGGACCGGGACAACCACUGGAAACGGUGGCUAAUACCGGAUGAGCCGAAAAGUAAAAAGGGAAACCUGCCUUUUGAAGAGCUCGCGUCUGAUUAGCUAGUUGGUGAGGUAAGAGCUCACCAAGGCAGCGAUCAGUAGCUGGUCUGAGAGGAUGACCAGCCACACUGGGACUGAGACACGGCCCAGACUCCUACGGGAGGCAGCAGUGGGGAAUUUUCCGCAAUGGGCGCAAGCCUGACGGAGCAAUACCGCGUGAGGGAGGAAGGCUCUUGGGUCGUAAACCUCUUUUCUCAGGGAAGAACACAAUGACGGUACCUGAGGAAUCAGCAUCGGCUAACUCCGUGCCAGCAGCCGCGGUAAUACGGAGGAUGCAAGCGUUAUCCGGAAUGAUUGGGCGUAAAGCGUCCGCAGGUGGCAGUGUAAGUCUGCUGUCAAAGGUCAGGGCUCAACCCUGAACAGGCAGUGGAAACUACACAGCUAGAGUGCGGUGGGGGCAGAGGGAAUUCCCAGUGUAGCGGUGAAAUGCGUAGAGAUUGGGAAGAACACCGGUGGCGAAAGCGCUCUGCUGGACCUUAACUGACACUGAGGGACGAAAGCUAGGGGAGCGAAUGGGAUUAGAUACCCCCGUAGUCC
Molecule: ribosomal RNA, 748 nt
Filed under: uncultured cyanobacterium
Lineage: Bacteria; Bacillati; Cyanobacteriota
Description: bacterial SSU rRNA
Rfam family: Bacterial small subunit ribosomal RNA
Source: RNAcentral